RNAcentral lists this ribosomal RNA (330 nucleotides) under uncultured bacterium. Its description in RNAcentral is "bacterial SSU rRNA". It matches the Rfam family "Bacterial small subunit ribosomal RNA", at positions 335 to 653 of the family's 1533-position model. The record is from RNAcentral.
ACUCCUACGGGAGGCAGCAGUGGGGAAUUUUGGACAAUGGGCGCAAGCCUGAUCCAGCAAUGCCGCGUGCAGGACGAAGGCCUUCGGGUUGUAAACUGCUUUUGUACAGAACGAAACGGUUUGGGUUAAUACCCUGAGCUAAUGACGGUACUGUAAGAAUAAGCACCGGCUAACUACGUGCCAGCAGCCGCGGUAAUACGUAGGGUGCAAGCGUUAAUCGGAAUUACUGGGCGUAAAGCGUGCGCAGGCGGUUAUAUAAGACAGAUGUGAAAUCCCCGGGCUCAAGCCUGGGAACUGGCAAUUUGUGACUGUUAUGGCUGGAGUACGGCA